Molecule: ribosomal RNA, 468 nt
Filed under: uncultured bacterium
Lineage: Bacteria
Description: partial 16S ribosomal RNA
Rfam family: Bacterial small subunit ribosomal RNA
Source: RNAcentral
GACGAACGCUGGCGGCGUGCUUAACACAUGCAAGUCGAACGGAAAGGCCCUGCUUUUGUGGGGUGCUCGAGUGGCGAACGGGUGAGUAACACGUGAGUAACCUGCCCUUGACUUUGGGAUAACUUCAGGAAACUGGGGCUAAUACCGGAUAGGAGCUCUUGCUGCAUGGUGGGGGUUGGAAAGUUUCGGCGGUUGGGGAUGGACUCGCGGCUUAUCAGCUUGUUGGUGGGGUAGUGGCUUACCAAGGCUUUGACGGGUAGCCGGCCUGGGAGGGUGACCGGCCACAUUGGGACUGAGAUACGGCCCAGACUCCUACGGGAGGCAGCGGUGGGGAAUAUUGCACAAUGGGCGGAAGCCUGAUGCAGCAACGCCGCGUGCGGGAUGACGGCCUUCGGGUUGUAAACCGCUUUCGCCUGUGACGAAGCGUGAGUGACGGUAAUGGGUAAAGAAGCACCGGCUAACUACGUG